This is a long non-coding RNA of Pogoniulus pusillus (Red-fronted tinkerbird), 1801 nucleotides long. RefSeq lists it as uncharacterized. The record is from RefSeq and is a predicted model, not a curated record. The transcript is spliced from 5 exons. NCBI's taxonomy places the organism in Eukaryota, Metazoa, Chordata, Aves, Piciformes, Lybiidae.
AGGUUUUGAUUUCUCUGUUUGGGAGUAACCUCAAGCACUGAACUGAGCUGCAGGAGCCUGGAGUCUGCAGCCAAACCUUUUCUGCUAUAAUCCCAUCUGGGUUUCCUCACCAUAGCAGGCAGACACCAAUCCCAUUAUGGCUCCAGAUAAUCCAGUCUCAGAUGUGGUCCCAUGCUUUCUGAUGCCUUAAUCCUAUUGCUCUGGAGCCUGCUUAAUGGGGAAGCUGCUCACCUUCCUCUCCUCUGUCUGAGAGACACCUUCCAUUUCCCAGAGCAAGGAGCAGGCAGGGAAAGGGGAUCUGGUUCCCAGACACAUUUAGCAGGCAACUGCAAGGUGAUCCAGAGGAACUGCUUUGGAAAGGGCACAGUGGGCAGAAGAGCAAAGUCAGCCCAUCCUCACACCCUGGCUUUUGGAUGGAAGGCUGGUGUGUGGGAAAGCACCCAGCUGCAGUGGGCAAAGAGAAAGCAACUACCCUGUGCUGUGCUGCAACCCUGCUGCCAUCCUCCUUGUUAGUGAGCAGGAGUCCCCAUCCUGGGGCCAGAGCAGAGCACGACCUGAGUUGGGUCCCCCUCUGAGUAGCUUGAGGCACAGUCAUGCCUCCUGCUGGUGCUUACACUUACACACAGGUGUUUACAUUUGUAUUUCCAGGGAAGCAGGGUUGGAAAUGUUGACCCUGAGGGUGCAGAUGCACCUUUACUCUACUAAGGGUUACUUGAGUGGUUUUCUUGGGUGCCUGGUGAGCAUCCUGCUGCUCAAAACUCUCCCCUGGGAUGGGUUGUCUCUGCAAGGGAUCCACCUUAUCUCAGCCAGGGGGUGCUGGCUGCACCUUCUGGUGCUUUUUCCAGGGCUUGCUGGGUUGCUGCCAGCCCAUGGAGGACUCUGAUCCUCCUCUGUGGUUGUAAAAGCUAUUCAUUCAUGAACGAGCUGUUCCUGGGAGGCAUGCAGUCAAGUGGUAUGUUCCUCUGGGGACAGGAGCCAUGCCUGACUGACAGCCUGUGCUCUCUUGCUGGCUUUCCACCACCAUUCUCAGAAAGGCCAGUGGGGCUUGGAUGCUGCCAUGCCCCACAGCUUCCCAGUGCCAGCCUUUACCCCCUCCUGAAUUUGGGAGCGAAAGCACAGAUGUUCAGCUCCUUGGAGCCAGACAACAGAGAAACAAUCUGUUCCUGUUCCUCUUCAUGCUUCCUUGGGCUGACUCUAAGGGUAGAUUCAGUCACCCUGGGCCUGGACAGGAAGGAGAGAAAUGAAGUGUGCCACAUUGCCUGAGAAGAGCUAUGUCUUUUCUGCACCAUCCAUCACACUGCCUCCCGUUCCCCAGUGGGGCCAAGGCCACGGAGGAGCGAGGACUGCAAGGUGGUGAGUUCAGUGCAGGCUUCCAGCAGAUGCUACUGCUUUCUUUCCCAUCAGCUUUUCCUGCGGGUUCUGAGCCCUGCAGAGCUCUGGGUGGGUGGCUCUGCUACAGCCAUCUUCUGAGCCUGAAGUUUGAGAGGGAGGCAGAGAGUGCUGCUCCCCUAAGGUGAAAUGCUCAGAUAUUAAUUUUCUGAACUUCUCCAUAAGCUAUUGAAGAUUAAUUUUAGGGAAAGCCGGGGGAUAUGAUGGAUUGGAGCCCAAGCCUGCUUAAAUAUGCAAUAUUAAAAAUGGAUGGUUGUCUCUCCUUGUCAUACACCCUGCCCCCGUGUCUGGGGCAAGCCCGCGCUGUGACGAAAAGCCAGGGAGAGACUCAGUAAGCCUCGUGCCCAGCUGAGUGCAAAUUUUAAUAACUUCUGUUGCCACUAUUCUUUGUUAAAUCACCUUUAUGAGUUUA